Molecule: long non-coding RNA, 229 nt
Filed under: Carica papaya (papaya)
Lineage: Eukaryota; Viridiplantae; Streptophyta; Magnoliopsida; Brassicales; Caricaceae
Description: long non-coding RNA (CPAP_LNC010090)
Source: RNAcentral
GCAGACAUUCCUGCACAUGUGGCAAGGUGCACACGUGCUGGAAGUAUGUCACGUGUGUGGCAUGUGUCGUCUCUUGCUUUUUCGAUCCAAACUGUUUAUUAUGGGUCCUUCUUUGGGCUUCAACAGUAAGCUUGUUGUUUACCCAUUCUUGAUCCAAUAGGUUGAAAAUAUUCUAAAAUUGGUUGGCCUAGCUCCAGGUAAUCGGUCUUAGGAGUAUUUGAAUUUUACU